CUGCUCUGCAAGUUGCAUUAAAAAGAAAUUGUUGAAAAGACAAAGGACAGAAUAACAUUUCCUCCCUCGUCUUCCCCUCUCCCCCCCCCCCCCGCAGCACACACAGACACACUCCCCCACCUCUCCCCGCUGGGCCCAGAGCUACUUCUCACGCUUGAGUUGGUGCAAGCUCUGAUAAAGCCAUUGAAAGAUGCAGCGGGGAGACAGAGCGCUCCCAGGGACAGAGGGAAGCAGAAGAGGAAGCCGAAGUAAAAUGACCCCCUCCCAGGGAGCAGUGUAAUGUGGUUUCUUCCAUCGUGAAAAACCUGCUUCAUCUGGAGCUCCGGGAAGCCUGAAUCACUAUAGAUAAGACAUUCAAAGUGCAGUAUCCCUUGCACAUGCUGCCAGUUCUCAUUUUAAUCUCCCCAGACAUCAAAAAAAUUAAAAUGUAAAAUUCUAA
Long non-coding RNA from Pseudopipra pipra, 439 nucleotides. RefSeq lists it as uncharacterized. NCBI's taxonomy places the organism in Eukaryota, Metazoa, Chordata, Aves, Passeriformes, Pipridae. The record is from RefSeq and is a predicted model, not a curated record. The transcript is spliced from 2 exons.